Molecule: unclassified non-coding RNA, 19 nt
Filed under: Chlamydomonas reinhardtii
Lineage: Eukaryota; Viridiplantae; Chlorophyta; Chlorophyceae; Chlamydomonadales; Chlamydomonadaceae
Description: small RNA Cre_3551
Source: RNAcentral
UGUGAAGCGGGACAGGGAC